GAUGAACGCUGGCUACAGGCUUAACACAUGCAAGUCGAGGGGAAACGACGGGGAAGCUUGCUUCCCAGGGCGUCGACCGGCGCACGGGUGAGUAACGCGUAUCCAACCUGCCUCUGACUGAGGGAUAACCCGUCGAAAGUCGGCCUAAUACCUCAUGGCAUCGUCUGCGGGCAUCCAACGACGAUUAAAGAUUUCAUCGGUCAGGGAUGGGGAUGCGUCUGAUUAGCUUGUUGGCGGGGUAACGGCCCACCAAGGCUACGAUCAGUAGGGGUUCUGAGAGGAAGGUCCCCCACAUUGGAACUGAGACACGGUCCAAACUCCUACGGGAGGCAGCAGUGAGGAAUAUUGGUCAAUGGGCGGGAGCCUGAACCAGCCAAGUAGCGUGCAGGAUGACGGCCCUAUGGGUUGUAAACUGCUUUUAUGCGGGGAUAAAGUGAGGGACGUGUCCUUCAUUGCAGGUACCGCAUGAAUAAGGACCGGCUAAUUCCGUG
RNAcentral lists this ribosomal RNA (491 nucleotides) under uncultured bacterium. RNAcentral's name for it is "partial 16S ribosomal RNA". It matches the Rfam family "Bacterial small subunit ribosomal RNA", at positions 28 to 507 of the family's 1533-position model. The record is from RNAcentral.